GACGAACGCUGGCGGCGUGCUUAACACAUGCAGGUCGAACGGAAAGGCCCUGCUUUUGUGGGGUGCUCGAGUGGCGAACGGGUGAGUAACACGUGAGUAACCUGCCCUUGACUUUGGGAUAACUUCAGGAAACUGGGGCUAAUACCGGAUAGGAGCUCCUGCUGCAUGGUGGGGGUUGGAAAGUUUCGGCGGUUGGGGAUGGACUCGCGGCUUAUCAGCUUGUUGGUGGGGUAGUGGCUUACCAAGGCUUUGACGGGUAGCCGGCCUGAGAGGGUGACCGGCCACAUUGGGACUGAGAUACGGCCCAGACUCCUACGGGAGGCAGCAGUGGGGAAUAUUGCACAAUGGGCGGAAGCCUGAUGCAGCAACGCCGCGUGCGGGAUGACGGCCUUCGGGUUGUAAACCGCUUUCGCCUGUGACGAAGCGUGAGUGACGGUAAUGGGUAAAGAAGCACCGGCCAACUACGUG
This 468-nucleotide ribosomal RNA is filed under the name uncultured bacterium. Its description in RNAcentral is "partial 16S ribosomal RNA". It matches the Rfam family "Bacterial small subunit ribosomal RNA", at positions 28 to 507 of the family's 1533-position model. The record is from RNAcentral.